AGAGUUUGAUCCUGGCUCAGGACGAACGCUGGCGGCGUGCUUAACACAUGCAAGUCUACGAGAAAGUUUCUUUCGGGAAGCAAGUAAAGUGGCGCACGGGUGAGUAACACGUAAGCAAUCUACCUUUAGGUUUGGAAUAACUUCGAGAAAUCGGGGCUAAUACCAGAUGAUGCAGCGAUACCUCAUGGUAAUGCUGUUAAAGUCUAUAUGGCGCCUAAAGACGAACUUGCGUCUGAUUAGCUUGUUGGUAAGGUAAUGGCUUACCAAGGCAACGAUCAGUAGCUGGUCUGAGAGGAUGAUCAGCCACACUGGAACUGAGACACGGUCCAGACUCCUACGGGAGGCAGCAGUGAGGAAUAUUGGGCAAUGGGCGAAAGCCUGACCCAGCAACGCCGCGUGGAGGAUGAAUGUCGUAAGAUUGUAAACUCCUGUUAGAGGGGAAGAAUAAUCCCGAUCGACUCGGGACAUGACUGUACCCUCAGAGAAAGCUCCGGCUAACUACGUGCCAGCAGCCGCGGUAAU
This 522-nucleotide ribosomal RNA is filed under the name uncultured bacterium. Its description in RNAcentral is "bacterial SSU rRNA". It matches the Rfam family "Bacterial small subunit ribosomal RNA", at positions 8 to 524 of the family's 1533-position model. The record is from RNAcentral.